GAUGAACGCUGGCGGCGUGCCUAAUACAUGCAAGUCGAGCGAACAGACGCGGCGCUUGCUCCUCUGACGUUAGCGGCGGACGGGUGAGUAACACGUGGAUAACCUACCUAUCAGACUGGGAUCACUUCGGGACACCGGAGCUAAUACCGGAUAAUCUCUUGAACCGCAUGGUUCAAUAGUGAAAGACGGUUUUGCUGUCUCUUCUCGCUGGAUCUGGGCCGCAUUAGCUAGUUGGUAAGGUCACGGCCUACCAAGGCAACGAUGCGUAGCCGACCUGCGAGGGUGAUAGGCCGCACUGGAACUGGAACACGGACCAGGGUCCUACGGGAGGCAGCAGAAGGGAAACGUAGGCAAUGGGCGAAAGCCUGACGGAACGACGGCACGUGAGAGGUGAAGGUCUUCGGAGCGUAAAACUCUGUUACUAGGGAAGAACAAAUGUGGAAUGAACUAUGCACGGCGUGACGGUAACUAAUAAGAAAGCAACGGCUAACUACGUG
This 497-nucleotide ribosomal RNA is filed under the name uncultured bacterium. RNAcentral describes it as "partial 16S ribosomal RNA". It matches the Rfam family "Bacterial small subunit ribosomal RNA", at positions 28 to 507 of the family's 1533-position model. The record is from RNAcentral.